Amphiprion ocellaris (clown anemonefish) is the source of this 2080-nucleotide long non-coding RNA. RefSeq lists it as uncharacterized. The transcript has 3 exons. Lineage: Eukaryota; Metazoa; Chordata; Actinopteri; Pomacentridae. The record is from RefSeq and is a predicted model, not a curated record.
GUGUGAGUCAGUGAGUGACCGGUGACUGGCUGCUGCAGCCAAUGAUGCGAUUCACAUACGUAUUUACCAUAGACUGUAUAUAAUGGUAUUUACGCAGCUAAUCAACGUCAGACGUCCUUAUGUGCAGCCAUCGUUGUUCUCAUAGAUAUGAAUGAGUAGAUAGGACACGCCCCUUUGAGCUGCGUGCUACAGCGAGGCUAAGCUAGUGGGGGAAAAGUUUCAGUGCAUUCCGUUGAUGUAGAUGGCGUGAAAACGGAAACAAGUAUGCCGGCUCACUGUGCUGCAUACAGUUACACACUACGUCGUACGAUUGAGACAAGGAAACUUGGAAUGACUUUUCAUAGGUUUCCCAGAGACUAUGGGCUGAGGAGGAACUGGAAGUUUGUCGGCUUAGACCUGGUGUCAUUCCAUCAGUGUUAAACUUCCCGGCUCAUCUUGGAAGAGUACGUGCCAGAAAGACCACGACCAAGCAGCCUUGUGAUCUUAGGCAGCGUCUCCCUGAGACCAAAGAACUACAGACUCUUCACAACCUGCUCAAACUCUUGGUACAGGACCUCACCACACGGGUCAAGAAGGUUUCUGUCUCAUUUCUACUCUGAAGCUCACCUUCUCCUGCUCAAACUGCUGACAAAUGUUUCUGCUGCUCUAAAGUCUGGUCUCCAGAACUUCCUAAAAACUCUCAAAGUCUCUUCUGCUGCAGGUUGCUUUGUUGAACUGUUCCAGAAAACCUCACUAAACCACAUGGAGGGGCCUCAAGAUAGUCGUCCAAAUGAAACCAUACAAAAACCAAACUAGUACAACCCAAACACUAAAGUCUCCUGCAGCCUACCAGAGAACCUCUGAGAACAGAGAAUCAGGACAGGAACUCUUACCUUCUGGACAACCAACGCUGGUUCACAAACGAAUACAGAAUGUGUCUGACCAAAAACCUCUGAAGACUCACUACAGCCAAGAUAAAGACACAACUCAGCUGUACCAAAUCCACUAAUCACUGCACACAUUAGCACCAUGUGCUAACUGUGGCUAAAGAACCACAUUUACCAAGACAACUAUCCAGUACAAAGCCCUAAAACACACCAAGAAACACAUUAAAGACGAUUUUACUGCUGGAAGCUGCAAGCCAACGCCUAAAGAACAAACUAAAGCAACGGAACCAAACCCGGUUCAGUGGUGAAGAGAAACAGAGGAAAUGUUUGUCUGCAGCUAAAUAAAGCAGGAAGACACUGAGCUGCUCAGGUGUUCCUGAUAACACCAAGCAGCCACCUGGACAGCCAAUAGGAACACAGCUUCCUGGGAGUCCAGAGGUCUGGGUUAGUGAAUGAAAUUUAGUUUAAAGUUGAAGCAGAAAGUUAACAAAGAAAGUUGAAAACCACCUUCUGAUCCCUGAAAUCUCUGAGUUUUCACACAAAGAACACCUGAACAUGUCAAACUGGCUUCAUAGUAGAACCAUCAUUGUAAAAACGUCAUAGUAUGGUGUGUUGCUCAAAAAACAUUAGGACCUGGCUGUCAGGGGACAAACAUGUAAGAAACAUGAGAACAGAGAGAACCCAACCAGUAGGUCACAGUUUAUCAUCCCCCAGUCAUCUCCUGAAGUCCAUAUGGUGAGAGACAUCAGUAUCUGGUUGUUAAUUUACCAGAGGAUGCUUAUAAUCAUGCUGAUGUGGUCUGUACUCUACAGUAUUCUAGUGACUCAAUAAAUGCCUGAGUUGUUUUUUUUAAUGCUUUUUAGUUUUUAAUAAACAAUUAUCAGCCUAUAUGUAAUCAAUAAAUGGCCUUUGCCUAUCUUAAGAAAAAUUCACUCAGAACUCUGAUAUGUUAACAGUACUAAAUAAAUCAAUAAAUACAUGCAUACACACAAAAAUAAGUUAAUACAUUAACUGUGUUAAGAUAAGAUUUAGAUUUUUAAAAAAAAGUUGUUUAUGUUUUUGCAGAAUCCAGUAUUGCUCACUGGUUGGUCAUUACAUUUUGUUAGUUUGAUUUCACUGUUUAAAAUGAUGCCACCUCUUUUCAGACAGAACCUGUGAUAAUAAAACAAUACAAAAUUUUUUGUUCCGUGUUAAUAAAGCACUUAAAGCUUUAA